RNAcentral lists this ribosomal RNA (253 nucleotides) under uncultured bacterium. Its description in RNAcentral is "partial 16S ribosomal RNA". It matches the Rfam family "Bacterial small subunit ribosomal RNA", at positions 524 to 776 of the family's 1533-position model. The record is from RNAcentral.
UACGUAGGCAGCAAGCGUUGUUCGGAGUUACUGGGCGUAAAGGGUGUGUAGGCGGUCUACUAAGUCUGGUGUGAAAUCUCCCGGCUCAACUGGGAGGGUGCGCCGGAAACUGGAAGGCUAGAGUGCGGGAUGGGAGAGUGGAAUUCCUGGUGUAGCGGUGAAAUGCGUAGAUAUCAGGAGGAACACCUGUGGUGUAGACGGCUCUCUGGACCGCAACUGACGCUGAGACACGAAAGCGUGGGUAGCAAACGGG